This is a non-coding RNA of Podarcis muralis (Common wall lizard), 396 nucleotides long. The record is from RefSeq and is a predicted model, not a curated record. Lineage: Eukaryota; Metazoa; Chordata; Lepidosauria; Squamata; Lacertidae.
GUUUACACUAUUUUGGCCUCUCCUACACGGAAUAUGUCCCCUGAAACAUGACCACACUUCAUGCUCACCCUUCUGUUCUGAGCAGAAAAUAGGUGCAAAUAUAACAAUGGCUUAUUAUCUGAGGGAGAGGGGUCGGCACCAUUUUGUGGUCCUGUCACUUUCUGCUCUUUUAGAUAUGGCAGCCAUUUUGUGCUAUGCCCCCCCCGGCAGCCAUUUUAUGUCUGGCACUCAUGGCACUGCCUCCAAAUAACAAAUGUGCCCCAAAAGAUUGACAAUCCCUGCUUUAAAUUAUACUACAACCUCACAACUAAACACUUGGAUUGCUGAGAAUGUAAUGAAGAAGUUCCUAACCACUUGUCACCAGAGAUUCCUUAUCACUUGGGCAAGAGCAGAGGU